Molecule: ribosomal RNA, 440 nt
Filed under: uncultured bacterium
Lineage: Bacteria
Description: partial 16S ribosomal RNA
Rfam family: Bacterial small subunit ribosomal RNA
Source: RNAcentral
CCUACGGGUGGCAGCAGUGGGGGAUAUUGCACAAUUGGGGGAACCCUGAUGCAGCGACGCCGCGUGGGUGAAGAAGCGCCUCGGCGCGUAAAGCUCUGUUAGCAGGGAAGAAAAUGACGGUACCUGAAGUAGAAGACCCGGCUAACUACGAGCCAGCAGCCGCGGGAAUACGGAGGGGGCAAGCGUUAUCCGGAUUUACUGGGUGUAAAGGGGGCGUAGACGGCGAAACAAGCCAGAAGUGAAAGCCCGGGGCUCAACCCCGGAACUGCGCUUGGAACUGCGUGGCUGGAGUGCAGGAGGGGUAGGCGGAAUGCCUGGUGUAGCGGUGAAAUGCGUAGAUAUCAGGAAGAACACCGGUGGCGAAGGCGGCCUACUGGACUGCAACUGACGUUGAGGCCCGAAAGCGUGGGGAGCAAACAGGAUUAGAUACCCCGGUAGUC